ACGAGCACUGUCCUACUCUCGGAACAAUUUCCAGUUUGCUGCACUCUGAUAUAUCUAGAUUUCGAAGAAAGGAAAAUCCUUCCAAAUCUGGAAUGGAACUUAAAUUAGGACAAUCACUUAACUUCAAUUCUUCAAGAGUAGUGGAGGUCCACAACCCAUCUCCAAUCUUGCUUAGUUUUCGACACGAGGAAAUGUGAAAUUUUUGAAGAGAUGAACAUGUUCCUCUUAUUGGAACAAUUUCCAGUUUGCUGCACUCUGAUAUAUAUAGAUUUCGAAGAAAGGAAAAUACUCCCAAAUCUGGAAUGGAACUUAAAUUAGGACAAUCACUUAACUUCAAUUCUUCAAGAUAAGUGGAGGUCGACAACCAGUCUCCUAUCUUGCUUAAGUUUUGACACGAGGAAAUGUGAAGCUUUUGAAGAGAUAAACAUCUUCCCCUUCCUGGAACAAUUUCCAGUUUGCUGCACUCUGAUAUAUCUAGAUUUCGAAGAAAGGAAAAUCCUUCCAAAUCUGGAAUGGAACUUAAAUUAGCACAGCCACAUAGCUUUAAUUCUAUAGGACAACUGGAGGUCAACAACCCGUCUCCUAUCUUGCUUAAGUUUUGACACGAGGAAAUGUGAAGCUUUUCAAGAGAUGAACAUCUUCCCCUUAUUGGAACAAUUUCCAGUUUGCUGCACUUUGAUAUAUCUAGAUUUCGAAGAAAGGAAAAUCCUUCCAAAUCUGGAAUGGAACUUAAAUUAGCACAGCCACGUAGCUUUAAUUCUUUAAGACAACUGGAGGUCGACAACCCGUCUCCUAUCUUGCUUAAGUUUUGACACGAGGAAAUGUGAAGCUUUUCAAGAGAUGAACAUCUUCCUCUAAUUGGAACAAUUUCCAGUUUGCUGCACUCUGAAAUAUCUAGAUUUCGAAGAAAGGAAAAUCCUUCCAAAUCUGGAAUGGAACUUAAAUUAGGACAAUCACUUAACUUCAAUUCUUCAAGAUUAGUGGAGGUCGACAACCCGUCUCCUAUCUUGCUUAAGUUUUGACACGAGGAAAUGUGAAGCUUUUCAAGAGAUGAACAUCUUCCUCUAAUUGGAACAAUUUCCAGUUUGCUGCACUCUGAAAUAUCUAGAUUUCGAAGAAAGGAAAAUCCUUCCAAAUCUGGAAUGGAACUUAAAUUAGGACAAUCACUUAACUUCAAUUCUUCAAGAUUAGUGGAGGUCGACAACCCAUCUCCAAUCUUGCUUAGUUUUCGACACGAGGAAAUGUGAAGCUUUUGAAGAGAUGAACAUCUUCCUCUUAUUGGAACAAUUUCCAGUUUGCUGCACUCUGAUAUAUCUAGAUUUCGAAGAAAGGAAAAUCCUUCCAAAUCUGGAAUGGAGCUUAAAUUAGCACAGCCACUUAGCUUUAAUUCUUUAAGACAAGUGGAGGUAGACAACCCGCCUCCUAUCUCGCUUAAAUCCUUACACUCUGAAAUGCAAAAUUCUUCAAGAGAUGAACAUAUUCCUGCUAUUGGAACAAUUCCCAAGCGUCCGCAAUCGGAAACAUAGACACUUCGAAGAGCGGAAAACCCAUUCAAAUUUGGAAUUGAGAACAAAUCUCCACACUUUACUAUAGUUAGCUCCUCAAGUACCGUGGAAGUAGCUAGUCCAUCCCCUAUACGGCUUAAUUUUGAACAAUCCUCAACCCAGAGCUUUUUAAGAGAUAAACAUCCUCCCGUCAGGGGAACACUUUCUAAUAAGGGGCAAUCAGAAACAAGCAACUCUUCUAAGCAAGGGAACAUGGUUGCUGCUGUCAUUGCUGUCCAUUCUUCCAAAUUUUUCAUUUGCCGUAGGAUGAAUGUUUUUAAUGCAGGAAACACCUCAAUCUCACAUUGACUACUUCCAUCGCAAUAAAACUCAUUACCGAUGCGUUUCACCUUCCCCAUAUUCCUCAGUGCAAGAAACUUGAGACUCUGCAGUUGGCCCAAUGGUGGAAGACUUUUACAAUUGAUGCAACUGUUUAAUUCCAACUCCAUCAAAUUGUCAAGAAGCAGUGAACCAAUAUUAGAACCAUGAACAGGUCUUGACAUCCAAGAUGGGAGCUUUUCCCCUCCAUAAUUCCAAACAAUUAAGCUUUGCAAACCUGAGUGGGGUUGGAGACCUUCCAGCACUUCCUCACAGGUGUCAUUGCUAAAUUCUGACCAUUCGAAUAUUACCUUGCACAAUUUUGUUUUAAGCCGUAGAUUUGCUUUGCGAGCCUCUUCCUUGUCCCUAACACUCUGCAGAUUGCAUAUCCUCAAUUCUCCACCAAGUUCGUUGAGGCAUUCUAGAGCAUCAAGAUGAAAUUCGAUAUCCCUAACAAAAAACAUUGGCAAUGUUUGGAGAGAAAUUAGGUGUCGAAGCUCAAUUGGUUGAGACCUUUGCUGGUCAUAAUGGAUGUGCUUCAAGCUUAUCAAAUUUCUCAAUCCAUCUGGAAAUGCGAUUUCCCUACAACCCAUGAACCUUAAUGUUUGUAACAUGUAAAGUUUGGUUAUGGAUCGAGGCAGCACUUUGAUAGAAGUCUUCGAGAUGUCCAUAUACCUCAAGUGCUUCAAGUCGCCGAGGGAAGCAGGCAACUCAAGAAUAUAAUCAGCACCGGAAAAUUUUAGGACUCGUAAGCUUGUGAAGGUUCUUGACAAUUUCUUGAACACAUCAAUCUCUGAGAACAAAGAGUGCAAUUUUGGAGCAACAGCUGUUAAAAUUAUUGGUAAGGAUUCCCCAUCAUAACCAAUACUGAGAUGCUGAAUAUGAGAAACUUCAUCUGUGCUGGAACUGGAAUUUUCUUGGAAAAUCAAAGUCUCAAACUUUGAGACAGACAAAGCCAGAUCAUGCACCAUGUCAUGCAUCUUGCAAGUCAAAAUAUUUCCGCACCUGUCCUUCCCCACAUCUUGGAAUAAGGAAUUUGAUAACAAUUCAUGGAAAUAUCUGUUACCAGUAUCCAUCAUUUCUUUAGAAGCGCCAAGAAAUCCUUCAGCCAUCCAGAGUUGGAUUAAUUGCUCCUUUCUAAAGCAAAAAUCUUUAGGAAACAUGGCGCAGUAUGCAAAACACUUCUUUAAACAUGGAGAAGACAAGUGAUCGAAACUUAACCUUAGCACACUAUUAACCGAAUCCCAUACAUCACUUUUUUGAAUUUUCAACCAUGCACCCCGACUCUUUUCAAUUUUGCGCAUUGUACCUCCAAUAACUUUUGCUGCUAAAGGCACACCGUGACAUUGUUUAGCAAUGUCCUCGCCAAUUAACACUAAGCUGGGAGAUAUUGGGGAGUCUCCACGUGCUUUUUCUUGAAUUAUGGACCAGCACUCCUCAUCUUUUAAUUUUCCAGGCUGAUGCCUUUGAUUAGGAAGUGUUUCCACUUUUAAUGCCACAUCUUCAAUGCGGGUUGUUACAAUAACUUUAUUCCCCCGAUUCUUAUUAACCCCUUCCAAACACCACAUUAGUUCAUCCCAUUGUUCAACAUUCCACACAUCAUCAAGUACAAGAAGAUAUUUGAUCUGUUCAUUUCCCCUUUUGGCCUGCUCAAUCUUCCCCUUCAGUUUCGCCGUUAAAGCAUUCAAGUUUUGAGGUAUCGAAGUCCCCUUAAAAUGCUCCAGCAUUUCUCUUAAAAUUCUUUUGACAUUGAAGUCAGCCGAAACACACACCCAAAAUCUUACAUCAAAACGCCUUUCCACAUCCACAUCAUUGUAGACUAGCCUUGCUAAAGUAGUUUUCCCGAUACCCCCAUUGCAACUAUAGGCACAACAGAGACAGUUCGAUCAUCUUGGGGACUGACUAACAUGUCAACAACUUUUGAGACAUCAUUUUUCCUUCCAACAAUGUUUGAGUCAUCCAGGAAGGAGACUGUCUCCACAUUUGAUGGAAUAAAAAUUCUUUGAUCUAUGGCUAAUUGUUGGAGACCGUAGUCUUUGGCUUUUUUGUUAAGGUGGUCCAAGGAAUUAAGGAUGUCCUUAACUCUAUUAGCCAUGUUGUGCCGAAAUAUGACAGUAGAUGGAAGGUCUCGUAGCUUUCUCCACAUCUGAACCCCAACCUCCACUUUCCUUCUGAGAAACUCAUAAGUAAUCUCAUCCAGGACCUCACCAGCCUCAUAAGCAACAUCUCUGAGCCCCUCCAACCAAAGCUUCACUGAAUUCAUUUGCUUUUGCUUUCCCUCUGCAUCUUGCAAGAAAGCUCCAACCAUUUCUAGUGAGUUUUCAAGCCUCUGAAUCUCAUCCUUGAAGCCCCAUCCAAGGCUUAUCAUCUCAACCGCAACUGACGCCGCUUUUGACACCGCUUCUCCCACAACAGCACUAACGAAAGCUUCAGCCAUCUUUGCUUCAAAAAUAAAAAGCUUGAAAUGUUAGGGAAAGCUCUUGACUCUAUAUGAAAGAAGCGAAGAACAUUUGUAAAAAGCAACAGAAAAUGGAAAUGGGUGGAAGAUCAUACCGAGUCAAGGAAACUAAAUGCAGGAGAGAUUUGAUGAUGAAUUGCUUUUGGUAAAUGCAAAUUGUAAAGUCAAUGAGCGUUAAACUACCACCUGCCUGCGCUGACGAGAAUUUCAAGAGACCAAUAAACUAAUAUUAAUAAGUAAUUUUGGAUGGGGUAAAUUACACUAAGGGUCAUUAUACUAUUAUUAAGUUUUCGUUUUAUGCAUUUAAUUUUAAAAAGUUAUAAAAAGACCAUUAGACUAUUUAAAAGUUUUUAUUUAAGUCAUCAAAUUAUGUUGUUUUUAUUAAAAGCUUAGCUAGCAAAUUUCCAAGUGGUGGUCAGAUGAUCGGCAUGAUAAAUCAAUACCUAUCGACAUGUAGAAGAAGAAAACUAUUUGGAUUUUAAUUUGCAGAUUUAUGACACUCAAAAUUAUUUCAAAAAAAUGAAUUAUAGAAAAGGAGAAUGAGAAUUAUUUUUUAUUGGUGUAGCCGGGGCGAACAGAGAACUCUACACAAUAGUAAUAUAACAACUUAAUGACUUAAAUAAUAUUUUAGUGAUCAUUUUGUAACUUUUUAAAAUUGAGUGACUAAAAUGUUAUUUACUAAUAAUUUAGUGAACUUUGUGUAGUUUACCCUAAAAUAGUAUACAAUUAAUUCUAAUAUUAUUUAAUAAAUUUUAUUAUAAUAAAAUAAUGAUAUAAAUGUUUGUAGUUAAAUUGUGCUACUAGUCUUUAUACUUUGUGAAAGUUGUGAAACUUAGUUCAUGUACUUUAAUUUAAUCAAUUUUAGUCUCUUUACUUUUCAAAUUGAUUGGUUUAGUUCCUAUGCUUUUUGCACAAAAAAUAGUAGUUAAAUUCGAUUGGUUAAAUUUAAUUACUAAUUUUAUACUAUGCAUACAGUCAUAAAUUUAGUUCGAUCUCUCCAUUUGAACCAUUUUAAGUCCUAAUACUUUUCAAAAUUUGAAAUUUCAAUACUAAUGAAAAUUACAAUUAUUAAUUUAUUAAUUAAAUUUUUAGUGAGUAAUAUCUAGAAAUAACGAACAACAUAACAUUACAUAUAUAGUAAUAAUUUUGACGAAUCAUAUUUUAAAAAUAGCAAAACUUAAUAUAUUUCAUAGUUAUCAUUUUGGUGAGCACUUAAAUUUUAAAAUUCAAAAAGUAUAUAGACUAAAAGCGGCGAAAUUAAAGUUUAUGGAUUAAAUUUAUAACUUUCAUAAAGUAUAGGGACUAAUAAUGGAAUUUAACUAGUAAUAAUAUAUAUAAAUCAUUUUCGUAUAAGAUUUCAGCUGAAGAAGAGAAGUAAUCUGGUUGUUGGCGUUUUUAAGAAAGCUGGUGUAUUUAAGAAGGUUUGGUGGAAUAGUACUGUUUAAGCCGGUGUAUUUAAGAAGGUUUGGUGGAAUAGUACUGUUUAAGCUGGUGUAUUUAAGAAUGUUAGGUGGAAUAGUACUGUUUUCUGAUGGAUUUGAUGGAUGAUAAUUAUGAAUCAUGUGUUAUUUCCACACGGUUUGUUGUUUUCAAGAGGGGGGUUAUCCGUUGGAAUACAGCUGGGACGCAGAAGUCUCUAAGGCCUACCCGUCGAUUCUUUUGCUGGAUCUUUGUUUUGGGCUGACCUUUUGUUUUGCUUUUGUUUUAUCUGCUUCGGUUUUGAUUUUGGACCAUUCUAUGUUUUGACGUUGGUUUGUUUAUUUUGGUUCUGUUGAGUUUUAUUUUGGGCCUGAUUUGAAUAAAAAUCCAGAGUUUUCUUUAAAAAAAAAUCAAUCCAAAUAAAUAAAUAUUAUACCAAUCGACAAAAAAAUAUUUGUCUUCCUCCCAUCCCCUCUUCUCUUUUCUCUUCUUUCUAUUUUCAAAAUCCUAAAUUUGAUUUGAAGAUUGAAUUUCUACUUUUUAUUUAUAAGAUUUUUAGUUGUCUUAGGCUCUACCUCCGCCUCUGCAUUGCUCUGCUAUAUUUUGAUUUGAGAUCCCGAUCGAAAAUCUUUUGUGAUCUUCAAAGAUGGGAGAAAGAAAAGUACUGAACAAAUGUUACCCGCCGGACUUCGAUCCGUCCAAGCUUCCGAGGGUCCGGCGACCGAAGAAUCAACAGAUGAAGGUUCGUAUGAUGCUUCCGCUGAACAUACGUUGUAAUACCUGCGGAAACUAUAUUUAUAAAGGCACCAAGUUCAAUUCACGCAGAGAAAUGUUAUCGGCGAGGUUUGUUUUGUGCUUUCUUUUUACACUUUAGCUUCGGUUUAUUUGUUUAGUAAUAUUAGGGUUUUUUUUUUCAUUCUAACUUUAAAUUUAAGAAAAAAAAUAGGUAGAAGCAGCAAUAAUUCGAAGUUAUUUUAUGCUCUUGUGAGGUUAUGUUUGGUUAUUAGAAUGUAAUAGUAAUUAAAAUCAUGUUAAUUGGUUGAAAGAUGAGCAAACAAUUAUAAUGCAAUACUAAUUGUAAACUCAUUGUUAUAUAUGAAAUUAAAAUCUUGCAUUUUAUUGUAAAAAGGAACUUUCACAUGCCUUGUACUAUACUCACACUUAGUCCAAAUAACGUGGUUAAAUGCUGUAGUUAGUACACAACUUUCAGGUUUUCACUUCUCUCUAAUUAAUGAUUGAGGUGCAUUUAGUUACUUUUCUCUUAUUUGCAGACAUAUUUGGGAAUCCAAAUAUUUAGGUUUUAUUUCAAAUGCACCAAGUGCUCUGCGGAGAUGACGAUAAAGACUGAUCCACAAAAUUCAGAUUAUGUUGUUGAAUCGGGUGCAACAAGAAAUUUUGAACCUUGGCGUGCUGAAGAUGCGGUGAGAGCUUUGUGUAUCAAGCUAAAUGUAGCUAUAGUUCUUUUAACAUUGCUGGAUAUGUAUAAUAAUAUUCUUUCAUCUUUCCUUUUGUUAGGAAGCGGAGAAAGAGAGAUGGAAAAGGGAAUCUGAAGAAAUGGGGGAUGCGAUGAAAUCUUUGGAGAACAGAACGUUGGAUUCAAAAAGAGAGAUGGAUAUCCUUGCUGCGCUUGAUGAAAUGAAGUCUAUGAAGGUAGCUAAACACUUAAACCAACUUUUGUUUAAUAUGCAGGAGAUAACUGCAACAUUACUGUUAUAAAAAGAAAAUAAAGCUUUAACCUUGUUUUUGAUUAUUGUGGAUGUCAAUGAACCAGGUUUUUGAGUCUUUUAUUUUUAGAAUCUGAAUCUAGGAAGAGCACAUGUUGAGUUUCGAUUGAUAUGACCAAAAUAAUGUCUGUUAACGGGUCUACUGUUAGACAUUUGUCUAUCAAGAUGGGAAUAGGUACAAUUUUCUUUUCUCUGAUGCUAAUGGUAGUCUAUCUUACUAUCUUAUAUUGCAGUCCAGACAUGCUACGGUGAGCGUAGAUUCAAUGCUGGAGGCCUUGCAACGCACUGCCGCAGAAAAGGUAAGAUACUUCUACUUAUUUCUUAAUAGCUUAAGCUGCUUCUUUGAAUAGAAAUCUCACGAUUGUGUUUCGUUUGUAUUCUAUUUGAAAAUUUCCAGUUUCUUCUAAAUCAAAGGUGCAUCUUUGGUUGCAAUUGCGAAUCCUGAAUGGAAUUUAUGGUUUCGCUGAGAACACUUUUAUGCUGCAUUUCUUUAAUUAUACAUAAUCCUAGGAAAUAGGGGAAAAAGUUGAAUUUGCUUUCUAUGGAUAAAUCUUUCCCCUGAAAUAUGCCAACUUAAUUUUAUCAUAUCAGGUAAUUUCUCUUAAAUCUGAACUCUGAUAUUAGAAUAUUUAUGAAUGCUUGCAUUAUUUACCUUAAUACUUGAUGUGAGAGGGAGAUGAGUACAAAUACAUACAAGUGUGGAUUGAAGUGAUAAGUAGUAAUCACGUCGCUUAGCAUGCUUAUAUUUCUUCUCUUUUGUGAUUCUGACUACAAAGUUAUAAUGGUAACAGGAAAAGAAAAUAGAAGAAGAAGAUGAAGCCCUCAUUAAAUCGAUUUUCCAGGUUAGAAUCGGUGUAUUGCUUUUAGUAUCACCAGUUGUGAUUGCUCCCUGUUCUAGGCGGGCAUGUUUCUAACAUUGGUGUCAUCUUUAAUGCAGAAGCCAAAGGAAUUUGUUCGAAGGAUUUCAGAUGAUGUUUGCAACGAUGAUGAGGAUCUGACCCGUUUAUUGAGUGGCAAUGGUGAAACCUCAAAUGAUGGCUUAAAGAUCUGACCCGUUUAUUGAUGGCUUAUGAAUUUUUUCCCGGGCCGGGCCUGGGCAAAAUUCUAGGCCCAUAUUUCGGGCCGGGCCCGGGCCCAGGCCUAGGACCCGGGCUGAAUUUUUUUCUGGACCCAGCCCGGCUCGGCCCAUGAACACCUCUAGUCCCGACAGAAUCAAUACGAAGUAACAAAAAAAAGUAGAUCAGAUUUUGCUUUUAUCUUCUUUUUCUUUCUUUUUUUCUCUUCGAGGCUAUGUAUAUAUACAUGUAAAGAUUUUUGUUUUUAUUUUCUCAUUAGUAUAUUCAUUAUUGUCAUUUUAUUGUCGCGUUCAUUCGUAUAUCAUCAUUUUGUACCGUCAUUCAUCAACAUAAUAUUUUAUAUCAUUAAUUUUUAUCCGAACAUAUAAAUAAAAUUUUCAAAAAUAGGCAAGGUUCUGUAUUUGAAAGAUUCAGUAAAAUCGCAUCUUAAUUUACGGGUUUCGAUUUUUCUCGUUGAAUUCAAAUAAUUAAAUAUCCUUUCAAAAAUUAAAAUAUGUAAGAAUCAAAGGCCAAAUUAUUCUCAAGGAUUUGAAAUGUCAUGUCUUAACUUACGGGACGUGUCGUUUUAUAGCCUCGAGAUAAGAAAGUCUUCAAUAUAUUUUCGAGUUAUUUAAGCAUUCCAAAAAAAAAUAUACAUUAAUGUAAAAAACGAUCGUAUUUUAAAUUCUUUCCGAAUUUUUAACUUUCUACAUAAAGACAUCAAAUAAUCAAUUGGGUACCAAUUUUGGGUGUUACGAGGGUGUUAAUCAUUCCAUUGCGUAACCCACUACUGAACCUAUUUUUUGGAUUUCGUAGACCAAAAAAUCGUCGUUUUAGUAAUUUUAAAUUUUUAUUCAAAUGAUUGAAUUACGAGGUGACCCGAUCAUAAAAAUUAUAAAAAAUAAUUUUAUUUUAUAUAAAAUUAGUAAAUAAUUAUUAUUUGAUAUAAUAUAACCUAAACAUUAUUAUUAAUAAAAAUAAAUUAUAAAAUAAUUAAAAACUCUUAAAUAAAAAACAAAUAUAUAAAUCUUAAAAUAAUGUUCUGACUUAAAGAAGAAAAUAUAGCUUUGUAAUCAUAGUUGUCCUAUGGACACUUAGAAUCUAAUGGCAUGACACGUGUAAAGCCAAUUUGCUGUUUGCCAUUUGGUAUCAUGGUUUUCAAAAUUGAAUUAAUAGAAUCGAUUGCCUUGAUUUAACAUAUAUAAAAAAUAUGAUUUUGAAAAGAUUUUUUAAUUGUAAAGGAAAAGAAUCAUAAAAAUAUUCUAAGAUUUUUUUUCAAAAUUGAUUUUUUAAUUUAUAAAAAAAUUAAUCUAAAUAUAGAAAGCUUGUAAAGGAAAAGAAUCACAAACGAAUUUCAAAAGUCAAAAUUUUAAAAGGUUUGAAUAUCUUUAAAUAAUUAAAAAUCAUAAUUUAAAAUAUUAUGAAACAAAUUAAAAAAAUAUUUAAAAUAUUAUAAAACUAAUAAUAAAAGUGAAAGGUCAUAUCUUUAAAAUAUUUAAAUGAUUUAUAUUAUUAAAAAUAUAUUUAAUAUUUAAAAAAUAAUAUUUAAAAUUUUAAAAAAGUGCUUUAUUUUUAUAAUUAGUUAUUUAAUUUUUAUUAAUUAUAAAGUCAGCUUUUGCUUUUAAAUUUACUUAUAAAGACGGUAUUAUAUACCAAAUUUUGGGAUCAACGAAAACAAAAUCAAUUGAGAUAGACAUCUUAGAAAAAUAAAAUAAUAAAUAAUAUAAAUUUAAAGAAAUAGAAAAUUUUAGAGUUCAAAAACUAUAAAAAAAUAAUUUUAUUUGAUAUAAAAUUAGUAAAUAAUUAUUAUUUGAUAUAAUAUAACCUAAACAUUAUUAUUAAUAAUAAAUAAAUUAUAAAAAAAUUAAAAACUCGUAAAUAAAAAAACAAAUAUAUAAAUCAUGGUUUGCAAUCAUUAUUAUUAAUGUUCUGACUUAAAUAAAAAAAUAUAGCUUUGCAAUCAUGGUUGUCUUAUGAACACUUAAAAUCUUAAUGACAUGAUACGUGUAAAGUCAAUUUAUUGUUUGCCAUUUGGUAUAAUGAUUUUUAAAAUUGAAUUAAUAGAAUCGAUUGCUUGAUUUAACAUAUAUAAAAAUAUGAUUUUGAAAAGAUUUUUUAAUUGUCAAGGAAAAGAAUCAUAAAAAUAUUCAAAGAUUUUUUUCAAAAAUGAGUUUUUAAUUUAUAAAAAAAAUUAAUCUAAAUAUAGAAAGCUUGUAAAGGAAAAGAAUCAUAAUAUAAAAUAUUAUGAAACAAAUUAAAAAUAUUAAAAAUAUUAUAAAACUAAUAAUAAAAUAUUUAGAUGUUUUAUAUUAUUAAAAAAAUAUUUAAUAUUUAAAAAAUAAUAUUUAAAAUUGAAAAAAUAAUUUCAAAAAUAUAUAUUUAAAAUUUUAAAAAAUAUAUAUUAUAAAAAAUUUCAAAUAUACAUUUUAAAUUUUUUAAAAUUAAUAAUAAAAAAUAAAAUAAAAAAAUAAUAAUAAAGACAAAACUUAAAAAAAGUAUUAAAAAAAAGGACAAAACUUUAAAAAAAAAAGUAAAAGGGUGUCAGGCGAAUCUGGUGGCGCCAAAUGAAAGGGCUCCACCAGAAAAUAGAAAUUUUAAUUUAAAGUCCUCCAUAUUUUUAGAAAUUGCAGUAUCUUCUUAGUAUUUAUACAAGUGGCGCCAUUCUACAUGGCUCCAUCAAAAAAUUAAUUUUUUUCUUGGUUGCUGACGUGGCAUAUUGGCGGAGCCAAAUUGACUCCACCAACUUUUACGAUAGAUUUUAGGUCAUUUUUGUGUUUAACUAAAAAAAUGGAUUAUUUUGAUAAUUAAUUAAAUUUUUUAGGCUAUUUUUAUAAAAAAAGCCCAAACACUCCUAUACUCAUGUUCAGUUUUAGUUUCAAAAAGGAAUAGGCUUGUUCGAGAAUAUACCAUUGGGUAGUCAGUUUGACCUACGUCAAUGCGAAGUUCCACAUGAUAUCAAUUUAUGUUUGCAGAAGUGGGACUUGCUGUAUUUUUCCCUUUUUUUCACCUCAAUUGUUGAAAAUAGAAUCGCCAUUAUUGAAUCCCUUAACUCAAGCUUUGGUGUGCAUGGUGUGCAGAGGAGAAAGGUGUCAGAAGAACCCUACAGAUGCUUUGACAAAAGCUAGUUUGCCGGAUGAUUCUAGCAGUAAAGGUAUUUGCAGUAUUCAUCACCAAUUCAUUUUUUUCAUAUAUAAAAAAGAACGGUUCAACUAGUCUGCAUUAAUUCUCAAUCUAUUUGGUACAAAACCAUUAUCUGGAACUAUUCAAAUAUCAUUGCAAUUUAUUAAAACAACACAUUACUAAAAUACUUGAGCACCAAGGCUUCACUGUCUCAUCAGUGCUUUCUGUCAAUCUUGCUAUCCUCCUAACGCUUGUUAUCACACCAUCUCUGUUGUUGACUGUAAGUUAAUUACUGAUUUUCAAUCCAAAUAUUUGCAAAAUUUAUCAUAGUAAUAAGUACCCUGAAAAGAUUCAAAGAUCCUUGAAAUAAAAUUUUGGAAAUGAUUGACUGACUAAUGCUUAGAACUUUUUUGAAUUAGUAUAUAUUGAUUUUGUAUUACGAAUAUGAUAAUGAAUGUAUUUGUUCGUUAACAGAAGGUCCAAGUGGUUCAAGGAGUCGUCCAUUCAAGUUACCGGUGAUAAUCUCGAUUGUGAAGAAGAAACCAGAGAAGAAAGAAGAAAAGUUACUAAUGAUACAGAGUAUUGGUCUCCUAUCCUUGUGCCAACUGCCAAGUACCAAUACUCUUUAUAUUUUUUUACCAUGUACCAAACACGCAAGAAUAUUGUCUAAAAUAAAGUAUCACUAUUCAUCAUCACUUUCAUUGUAGUUUUGGCGCCGUGAUAAUCUCGUUGUGAUGAAGAAGAAACCAGAGAAGAAAGAAGAAAAAGUUGAUGAUGAUACAAGCACUGGUCUCCUAUCUUUGUGCCAAAACUACGAUGAAAGUGAUAAUAAGUAGUGGUACUUUAUUCUGGUGAAUAUCCUUGUAUUGUCUUGUUUUAAUGUUUGUAUAGAUUGUUAAAUUGAUGUUUUUUUUAGUUAAAUUUAACCAUUAAUCUUAAAAAAAAAAGUUGAAUCAUCACUUUUAUUAGAAAUGCCAACUAAAAUACUAUUUUUUGAUGAUGUUGACGCGAUAAUUAAUGUGAUAGUUAAUGUAUAUUUCAUAUUGAUACGGUACUAUUUAUUAUAUAUAUACUAUAUUGACAAAUAAUUUACAAAUAAUAAAAAAUCAAGAUUAUAAAAAUUAUGAAGAGCAUAAAAAAAAAAAAGAGCUUGAAGUAAGUGUAGAUUGUCAUGCAAAUUGUUAUGUUUAAAAAUCGUAAUGUUUUAGUCAAUAUUUCUGUUAUAAACAAUAAGUCUGACUUUUUUUUUGAAAAAUUGGUGGUGAAAUGUACCUCUUUCUAAAAUGUUGAGGGCUAAAUUUAGCUAAAAGUAAGUCAUAUUGAUUAAAAAUGUAAAUAUUAAGUGCUAAAUUUAUCAUUAAGCAAAAAUAAAAGGUCAAUUUAUGUAUUAGUUGUUUGCUUACUUUUCAAAUAUUGAAAUUUCAAUCCUAAUUUAAAUAGUAACAAUUAAAUUUACUUGGUUGAGUUUUAUCAUUAAACUUGCAUUACGCGUAAAGUAGUAAAUUUAAUUCAUAUUUUUCAUUUGUAUUUUUAAUUUUUUUACUUUUCAAUUUUUCGAAAAUUUAAUCUUGGUGUAAACAAGAUCUAUUAAAUUUAUUAAUUAUUAUUUUUGAGUAAUAAAUGAAAAUAAUAAGUUGACAUAUCAUUUCAUGUGUAAUAAUACGGAAAUUUUAUAACUCAAAAGAUAUAGCAAUUAAAAUGGACCCAACUAAAGUAUAAAAAUAAAAAUCUAUAAUUUACGGAUAAUAUAAUGACUAAUAGCACAAUUUAAACCAAAUAAAAACAAGUUAAAUACAUCAUGACGAUGUAUCACUGGAUAAGACUCAUAAAAGUUACUGCAUACGACCACAGAGAAUCUUUAAUUCAUUACUGGUCACUGUUCAAACAUUUCUCCGGCAUUUUCGAGAAAGAAUUCAGUCUUAAAAAUGCUAAAGAAGUUCGGAAAUUUCCUACGACUGCGGAGCCUUAUUCAGCGGCAACUCACUCAGCAAGUUACAGCUUCAGUCCUAUACUUCUAACUAAAUAACUUUCCCUCUAAAUCUUUUCCCCUUCAAAGCUUAGAUCCAAGCUGAUGAACACAAUUCAGUUUACUUACAGUUUUGCACUAAAAAAAGUAGUUCCUGACUUAACAAAUAAAAUGCUCUCCAAUUUCUACAAUUAACCUACACUAGUCGUUCACUAUAUAUGCAUAGAAGGGGCGUUCAAGUACAAUCAAUGACAUUCACAAAUCCCACUAAAAACAUCUUACUGUCAUCAAAUUCCUUGAAGAUCAAAUCUUCUAUUUAAGAGAACUUUGAUUCUCGCAUGUAAAGUCUGCACUGAAGUAUCACCGUUGAAGCUGACAAUUAUAAUCGGCACUAACAAGUUUAAAUACAGGGCAGCCAACUUUUUUUUUCUGAUGAUUUUGGAUUAUGACAUGGAAGCUCAAAUCUUCAACUUAGCUAGAUACACAGAUGCGAGCUCCUUUUCCUGCUAAAAUCCAAACACAGUAUUUAUGAUAAACGAAGUUACUAUUUUUAAUUCCAAGGCAAUCCAAUUGGUGAACUCAAUAAGUUUUAGCUCCUAGAAAUUCUACGAGGGAAAAGUACCUUUGUGAAUAGCUUUUCCAAUCAAAUCUGGUGCUGGUCCUCUCCGAUCAUGGCUAAGGCCUUCUAGCUUACUACCCCUUCAGAUAAAGCAAAAUCAUAUAUCUUUACAUGAAGAAAAAAAAUUUACCCUUGGAUUUGAAUUUUAGUUGUUUUAUCACUGACCUAUGUGAAGCAGGUCCAGAUAAAGGCAUAGGUUAAGAAAGAGAAUGGUGGUAAAGUGGCAAGAUGCUGCAAUGAACAACCAUACAAUAUGUUGUCAAGGACAGGUGAUUUGGUAGCCAAGGUUAGUUCCAUAAAGGGUGGCAAUUGUAAGUGCUUCCGUCAGGAGCAAAACAAGAAUGGCUUUCAGGAACAGAACUAAAUUCUGGUCGGAUAUCACAAGAAACCUUACUCACAAUCCUUGAUGCUUCAGACAAGUAGGGAAAACACUUGGGUGAUGUUGCAUGACUGAAGACAACAAGGCAAAAGAAGUGGUCAAAAUGCAUAAACAAUGAUAAUUACCUAGUGAGUUGAUAUAUAAAAAUUUUUCGUAAGCAGUCUUCCUGUUUAGUUGACUUACUAUAAUAGUUGAUGCCUUCUGGAAAAAUGCAGCUUUUACCUGGCCGAUUUGUCAGAAACAUUUUAUGUACAGAAAAACGAAAUCUGUACAAGUAGUCACAGCUGACUUGGACCUUUUCUGUGACUGCAAUCAAACACUGCUCAAUAGUAUCAAGUAGUCACACCAUUCAUGUAUGGUGGAUGAACUUUUCCAAUACCCCAUAUAUGGUGCUGGGCCUCUCUGGUCUUGGCUGGGGCCUUUUAGCUCACUAGCUCAUCUGAUAAAGCAAUAUCAUAAAUCUUUACAUAGAGAAAUAAAAGUUUAAAUCCUCAGAUUAAAAUUUACGUUGGUCAUCACUCAUCACUGGCCUAUCUGAAGCAUGCCUGGAUCUCUCGUAUCGAAGAUUCUUGCAAGAGACUUCCUCUAUGAUCUUAAGUAACACCACUUCUCUGCAGGGAGACACUUUGCCUGCCAAUAUGCAAAAGGCUAGGCUAAGAAAGAGAAUGGUGGUAAAGCAGCAAGAUAUGAUGAACAAGCAUAUGAUAUGUUUGUCAUGGACAACUUACUUGGAGAAACAUGUAACAAGGUUAGUACCAUAACGGGUGGCUAUCCUAAGUGCUUCCAUCAGGAGCUAAACAAUAAUGGGACUCAGGAACAAAGCUAAAUUCCAGUUGGAUCUCAUAAGAACCCUUAUUCAUAAUCCUUGAUGCUUCAGACAAGUAGGAGAUAUAUUUAGCAAAUGUUGCAUGACCAAAGACACUACAAACAAGUUAAAAUAAGUGAUCAAAAUGCAUAAACAAUGAUCAUUACCUAGUGAGUUGAGUUUUGAAAACAUUUCUUAAGCAGUAUUCUUGUUUAAUUGACCUACUAUAAUAGUUGAUGCCUUCUGGAAAACAGAAAGAGAACGGAGGUAAAGCGGAAGAUAGGCUGGCUGCAAUGAACAAGUACGUCAUAUGUUGUCAAGAACUGCUGAUUUGGGUAAAAAUGGAACAUGGAUGGUAGUACCAUAACUUCCAUUGGAAGCAAGCUAAGAAUGGGCUUCCAGAAGACAAGAACGAUGAUGAAUACCUCACAGAUGUGACUAGAGCUUUAUACGUAGUAAUCCUUAAUGCUUCAGAUAAGUUGCUAAACCAAAGACUUCAUAAGCAAGGUAAAACAAGUGGUCAAAACACAAAGAAUGUUAAAUUAUAUAGUUUGUUAAAUUUUGAAAAUAAAUUUUUAAGUAGUCUUCAUCAAAGCAAAAUUAAAAGUUAAUAAAUUGCACAAGUGUCAUCAAUUACAUGGAAAAGUAAUGGUGACCAGGACUUACUUUUCGAUGGAUAAAUUUAGUUUCUACGUUCUCUCUUUGACUGAUGAGUCUUUAAGCUGUACAAGCUAAUUAGUGAAUCCUGCAAAAUUAAGCCAAAAAAUCUGUCAUAUGGAUUAACCAACCAAAUUUGUGAACAAAUAACCUUUUUUUUUGAAAAAAGAAUAAAUAAAUAAGCCAACCAAGUUGAACGGAAAUAUAUUGUCUAAUUGGAGAAAUCCACUAUAUACUUAGAGAACUGCCAAAAUGAUUAUAUAUACAAAGGGACUUCUCAUAUCCAUGAAAUGUUUAUCAAAACAAAAUUAAAAGGUUGUCUACUAAAAUGCAAAGAUAAUCACAGGAAGAAUGAACUGAUGUAAAUUGCAUUGAAAAGAAAUGGGGAUAAAAAAGAGCUUACUUUUCUAUCUCUAUAUUUACAUCCAAGACAAUAAGUCUAUGAAUCCUUCAUAUCCAUACAAAUCCUGUAAAGGUCUGGCGAAAAUGCCGAAAAAAAAUGAAAGUUUAGGAGGAAAAGAACAAGAAGAAUUUAGAGAGAAAUGACAUUCUUUUAUCAAAAGCAAAAAGUACAGGCGUUUUGGUUUCAGAUAUUGAACUUACCGCUUGCUCAUAAUUGAGAUCCUACGAAUGUGGGAAAUCUUGGACCACUCAGGGCCGCUUUCCUUGGAACAUCUUGCCUCUAAUCGAGGACACGCUGAAAUUAUAAAUGAUGUUAAUUUGGAGAGGCUUCGGAUAACAUGUUCAGAAGGCAGAUACAUGAGCUUAUCACAUGAAACAAUUCUCAAACGCUUUACAGAGGAGAGGUUUCCCAACCAAUCAGGCAAGGCUUCUAUGCCGUGAAACCUCUGUAUCUCUAGUCCUUCAAGGGCAGUGAGGUGUCGGAGUUGGUAAGGAAGAGAACUUAGCUUUUCCCAUCCAAGCAAUCGCAACUCUUUAAGGGAGGCACUGAGGUGUUGGAUGGAAUCAAAACCUGGGAAUUCUUCUAGCUCUUCUGAGAAACCACCAAUAUCUAAACUUCUCAAGCAAGUAAGGCUGCCAAGGCGGUCAUUUGGAAUGCUCCUCAAUGUUGGACACCUUUUGGUUGUUAAACGAACAAGAGAAUGCAAUUCCCACACACUUUCUGGAAUCGAUCUUAGAUCAGGCAAAUCAGCUAGUGUCAGCUUGCGAAGGCAAGUGUUGGAUUGCAGCAAAUCUGGUAAUAGACAAGUUAAGCCUUGGCCUACACCAGUGAAACCUAAUUCAGUGAGACGACCAUGACAUAUACUUGGAAUGGACCUCAAAUUCGGGCAAGUCUCUAUCCUCAAUUUUUUGAGACAAGUGAAGUUAGACAGUCCAUUUCCUAUGUAGCUUAAUUUUUCACAUGCAAGAAUGUCAAGAACUUCAAGAGAUGAGCACCUUUCUGUUAUUGGAACAAUUUCCAGUUUGUUGCACCCAGAUAUACAUAAACUCUGAAGAGACGAAAAUCCUUUCAAAUCUGGAAUGGAACUUAAAUUAGGGCAAAGCCUUAUCCUCAAUUCUUUGACAAAAGAGGAAAUAGAAAACCCGUCUCCUACCUUGCUUAGUUUUUCACACUGAAAAAUGUGAAGCUUUUCAAGAAAAGGAAGUCUUCCUGUUGGAAUAACUUCCAGGUUGUCACAUUUAGAUAUAUCUAAAGUUCGAAGAGAUUCCAAAUCUGGAAUGGAAUUUAAGUUACCACAAUGGGAUAGCUUUAACUCUUUGAGACAAGUGGCAAUAGGCAACCAAUCUUCUAUCUUGCUUUGACACCCGGAAAUGAGAAGCUUUUCAAGAGAUGAACAUUGUCCUCUUAUCGGAACAAUUUCCAGUUCGUUGCAGUUUGAUAAAUCUAAAAUUUUAAGAGAGGAAAAUCCUUCCAAAUCUAGAAUGGAACAUAAAUUAGGACAAUCGCUUAACUUUAAUUCUUUAAGAUAAGUGGAGGUAGACAACCCAUCUCCUAUCUUGCUUAAGUUUUGACACGAGGAAAUGUGAAACUUUUGAAGAGAUGAACAUCUUCCUCUUAUUGGAACAAUUUCCAGUUUGCUGCACUCUGAUAUAUCUAGAUUUCGAAGAACGGAAAAUCCUUCCAAAUCUGGAAUGGAACUUAAUUUAGCACAGCCACUUAGCUUUAAUUCUAUAAGAUAAGCGGAAGUCGACAACCAGUCUCCUAUCUUGCUUAAGUUUUGACACGAGGAAAUGUGAAGCUUUUGAAGAGAUGAACAUCUUCCUCUUAUUGGAACAAUUUCCAGUUUGCUACACUCUGAUAUAUCUAGAUUUCGAAGAACGGAAAAUCCUUCCAAAUCUGGAAUGGAACUUAAAUUAGCACAGCCACUUAGCUUUAAUU
RNAcentral lists this long non-coding RNA (18405 nucleotides) under Gossypium barbadense (sea-island cotton). Its description in RNAcentral is "long non-coding RNA (GBAR_LNC013845)". Lineage: Eukaryota; Viridiplantae; Streptophyta; Magnoliopsida; Malvales; Malvaceae. The record is from RNAcentral.